AUGCAAGUCGAACGAUUCCUGUAUCUUCGGAUACAGGGAGUGGCAAACGGCUGAGUAACGCGUAGGAACCUACCCCAAACUCGAGUAUAGCCCCGCGAAAGCGGGGGUAAUCCUCGAUAGCCCGUGAAGUAUUUUACUUCACGGUAAAGCUUUUGCGGUUUGGGAUGGGCCUGCGUCCUAUCAGGUAGUUGGUGAGGUAAAUGCUCACCAAGCCUAUGACGGGUAGCUGGUCUGAGAGGAUGGUCAGCCAGACUGGGACUGCGACACGGCCCAGACUCCUACGGGAGGCAGCAACUAGGAAUUGUGCGCAAUGGACGAAAGUCUGACGCCGCGACAUCGCGUGGAGGAUGAAGGUCUUCGGAUUGUAAACUCCUUUUCUUACCGAACAAGUUCUGAGUGUAGGUAAGGAAUAAGUGCCUGCUAACCACGUGCCAGAAGCAUCGGUAAUACGUGGGGCACGAGCGUUAUCCGGAUUUACUGGGCGUAAAGAGAAGCGUAGGCGGCUCAAUAAGUUUGGUGUUAAAUCUUCCGGCUCAACCGGAAACAAGCACCGAAAACUAUCGAGAUUGAGUCGAGUAGGGAAGAGGGGAAUUCCUGGUGGAGCGGUUAAAUGCGUAGAUAUCAGGAGGAAUACCAAGGGCGAAGGCACCUCUUUGGACUCGUACUGACGCUGAGGCUCGAAAGCGUGGGUAGCAAAACGGAUUAGAUACCCGUGUAGUCCACGCCGUAAACGAUCCCUGUUAG
RNAcentral lists this ribosomal RNA (744 nucleotides) under uncultured organism. RNAcentral describes it as "bacterial SSU rRNA". It matches the Rfam family "Bacterial small subunit ribosomal RNA", at positions 55 to 819 of the family's 1533-position model. The record is from RNAcentral.